This is a long non-coding RNA of Orbicella faveolata, 331 nucleotides long. The record is from RefSeq and is a predicted model, not a curated record. NCBI's taxonomy places the organism in Eukaryota, Metazoa, Cnidaria, Anthozoa, Scleractinia, Merulinidae.
UGCCAAUAUCAUGAAAGUUAAUAGACUCUUUCAGGGUGUAUUUAAGUUCAGUCGGUUAAGGCUUCCUGUGCUUUACUAGGUGGGAAAUGACCUGUUUCAUGGGCUGUUCUGUGGGUCAGUUCAUCUCAAUAAGUUUUCCUGUUUGUCAGCCAACAAGAAUAAUUUGCACUUCAACAUAAAUUUCAACUGAGGGUAUUUGGUUUAGUGGUGAUCCAUCAACAUACUGACAGAGGCACUUGGUUCAGUGGUGGUACUCAGUGAUCCAUCAACAUACUGACAGAGGUACCUGGUUCAGUGGUGGUAUUCAGUGAUCCAUCAAAAUACUGACAGA